RNAcentral lists this transfer RNA (86 nucleotides) under Janibacter limosus. RNAcentral describes it as "tRNA-Tyr". It matches the Rfam family "tRNA". Rfam says of the family: Transfer RNA (tRNA) molecules are approximately 80 nucleotides in length. Their secondary structure includes four short double-helical elements and three loops (D, anti-codon, and T loops). Further hydrogen bonds mediate the characteristic L-shaped molecular structure. tRNAs have two regions of fundamental functional importance: the anti-codon, which is responsible for specific mRNA codon recognition, and the 3' end, to which the tRNAs corresponding amino acid is attached (by aminoacyl-tRNA synthetases). tRNAs cope with the degeneracy of the genetic code in two manners: having more than one tRNA (with a specific anti-codon) for a particular amino acid; and 'wobble' base-pairing, i.e. permitting non-standard base-pairing at the 3rd anti-codon position. Lineage: Bacteria; Bacillati; Actinomycetota; Actinomycetes; Micrococcales; Intrasporangiaceae. The record is from RNAcentral. RNAcentral also lists the same sequence under 3 other names.
GGCAGGUUGUCCGAGCGGCCAAUGGAAACGGACUGUAAAUCCGUCGGGUUAUCCCUACGAAGGUUCGAAUCCUUCACCUGCCACCC